CUUGAAUAUCAAAGGUGAGCCAGUACAGGAUGGACCCGCGUCUGAUUAGCUAGUUGGUAAGGUAACGGCUUACCAAGGCGACGAUCAGUAGCCGACCUGAGAGGGUGAUCGGCCACAUUGGAACUGAGACACGGUCCAAACUCCUACGGGAGGCAGCAGUGGGGAAUAUUGCACAAUGGGCGAAAGCCUGAUGCAGCAACGCCGCGUGAGUGAUGAAGGCCUUCGGGUCGUAAAACUCUGUCCUCAAGGAAGAUAAUGACGGUACUUGAGGAGGAAGCCCCGGCUAACUACGUGCCAGCAGCCGCGGUAAUACGUAGGGGGCUAGCGUUAUCCGGAUUUACUGGGCGUAAAGGGUGCGUAGGCGGUCUUUCAAGUCAGGAGUGAAAGGCUACGGCUCAACCGUAGUAAGCUCUUGAAACUGGGAGACUUGAGUGCAGGAGAGGAGAGUGGAAUUCCUAGUGUAGCGGUGAAAUGCGUAGAUAUUAGGAGGAACACCAGUUGCGAAGGCGGCUCUCUGGACUGUAACUGACGCUGAGGCACGAAAGCGUGGGGAGCAAACAGGAUUAGAUACCCUGGUAGUCCACGCUGUAAACGAUGAGUAC
This 602-nucleotide ribosomal RNA is filed under the name Clostridioides difficile. RNAcentral's name for it is "bacterial SSU rRNA". It matches the Rfam family "Bacterial small subunit ribosomal RNA", at positions 193 to 816 of the family's 1533-position model. Lineage: Bacteria; Bacillati; Bacillota; Clostridia; Peptostreptococcales; Peptostreptococcaceae. The record is from RNAcentral.